This 253-nucleotide ribosomal RNA is filed under the name uncultured bacterium. Its description in RNAcentral is "partial 16S ribosomal RNA". It matches the Rfam family "Bacterial small subunit ribosomal RNA", at positions 524 to 776 of the family's 1533-position model. The record is from RNAcentral.
UACGUAGGGGGCGAGCGUUAUCCGGAUUCACUGGGUGUAAAGGGAGCGUAGACGGCCAUGCAAGCCAGGGGUGAAAGCCCGGGGCCCAACCCCGGGACUGCCCUUGGAACUGCAUGGCUGGAGUGCGGGAGGGGCAGGCGGAAUUCCUGGUGUAGCGGUGAAAUGCGUAGAUAUCAGGAGGAACACCGGCGGCGAAGGCGGCCUGCUGGACCGCGACUGACGUUGAGGCUCGAAAGCGUGGGGAGCGGACAGG